UAGGGAAUCUUCCACAAUGGGCGCAAGCCUGAUGGAGCAACGCCGCGUGAGUGAAGAAGGGUUUCGGCUCGUAAAACUCUGUUGUUAAAGAAGAACAUAUCUGAGAGUAACUGUUCAGGUAUUGACGGUAUUUAACCAGAAAGCCACGGCUAACUACGUGCUAG
This 164-nucleotide ribosomal RNA is filed under the name uncultured bacterium. RNAcentral describes it as "partial 16S ribosomal RNA". It matches the Rfam family "Bacterial small subunit ribosomal RNA", at positions 355 to 511 of the family's 1533-position model. The record is from RNAcentral.